Molecule: ribosomal RNA, 468 nt
Filed under: uncultured bacterium
Lineage: Bacteria
Description: partial 16S ribosomal RNA
Rfam family: Bacterial small subunit ribosomal RNA
Source: RNAcentral
GACGAACGCUGGCGGCGUGCUUAACACAUGCAAGUCGAACGGAAAGGCCCUGCUUUUGUGGGGUGCUCGAGUGGCGAACGGGUGAGUAACACGUGAGUAACCUGCCCUUGACUUUGGGAUAACUUCAGGAAACUGGGGCUAAUACCGGAUAGGAGCUCCUGCUGCAUGGUGGGGGUUGGAAAGUUUCGGCGGUUGGGGAUGGACUCGCGGCUUAUCAGCUUGUUGGUGGGGUAGUGGCUUACCAAGGCUUUGACGGGUAGCCGGCCUGAGAGGGUGACCGGCCACAUUGGGACUGAGGUGCGGCCCAGACGCCUACGGGAGGCAGCAGUGGGGAAUAUUGCACAAUGGGCGGAAGCCUGAUGCAGCAACGCCGCGUGCGGGAUGACGGCCUUCGGGUUGUAAACCGCUUUCGCCUGUGACGAAGCGUGAGUGACGGUAAUGGGUAAAGAAGCACCGGCUAACUACGUG